CUACAGCCGACAGUAACUAAACAUGACUGAGCUGGAGGAUGAAUGAGCAGCUGCUGCCGUCAAUGUGCUGUCAGACUUCAGAAUUUCCUCUUUGAAAAAGAAACAAGAAGAGUGGGCAGUGAGUGAGAACACAGCAUUGAUGCCUCAGAUAACUGGGGUAAAGGAACCAGACUAACAGUGACUUCAGAUAGUCACCCUCAGCUGCCUGGAUCUUCACUUUUACCUACAGAGUAUUUCUUUUGUUAUCCUACGAUAGGAACAAAGAACAGUUUUAUAGAAGUUGGUUUGGUGACGGUGUCCAGAUCUGAGGCAAAUUUAAAUUCUGACUGGAAAAAGGGCCCCCACCAUAACAAAACUGAUAUUGCUAUCAGUGACAACAUUGAGGAUUUGGCAAUAAAUUGUAUGGACACAAUCAAUGGCCUCCAAAACAAGCAGGAGACACAUAUUCAGCCAACGGCAUCCUGAAUGUGAAGAGCCCACACUGGAACAGUAAAAAGGUUUACUCAUGUGAAGUGACUCAUCUUGUAAAAACAAGCACAAAGAAAGGCUAAAAUCUACAACUAAAACUGAAGAUUAUGUGCAUAUGCAGCACCUUGAAAAAAUACACUGCUUUGCAGUUACAAGCGUUUACACAACCAAUGAGAGAUGGAAAGGGUGCUACCUGCUGGCCAUGGGGAUCAGAUUAAAUCUAAGGCCCUGGGUAGGCAAGUGUACAUUAAAAAAGUCUAAACUAAGCUUUAGAUGUAUCAAUUUGUGCAAAUGUGUUGUUCUGUCUUUGUGAAAAUGUAUAU
Molecule: long non-coding RNA, 791 nt
Organism: Cyprinodon tularosa
Lineage: Eukaryota; Metazoa; Chordata; Actinopteri; Cyprinodontiformes; Cyprinodontidae
Exons: 4
Source: RefSeq, a predicted model, not a curated record